Odocoileus virginianus texanus is the source of this 352-nucleotide long non-coding RNA. RefSeq lists it as uncharacterized. The record is from RefSeq and is a predicted model, not a curated record. NCBI's taxonomy places the organism in Eukaryota, Metazoa, Chordata, Mammalia, Artiodactyla, Cervidae.
GGGCCUUUGGAGCCGGCCUGAGCCGGAGUGCAAGCUCUGUCUCUCCGAGCUCAGGACUUGGCGCUUUUGGGUGCAAAGCGAGUGGCCCACAGAACUCCCGCUCUUGAGGAGGCCCGAGUCUAGGAGGGGAGAGAUUUGGAGAAACCGGUAAUUGCAGUGCAGAGAAGCAAAGCGAAAUAAGUAAAUAAAUAAGGAAUUUCAGCUCCGCGAAGGCAGUGGUUUUUGUCCUCUUACUGUAUUCCCAGUGCCUGAAAUGUGGCUGGCAGGAAACUUUCAUCUUGGCCACGUGUGUACUGUGUGCACGCCAGCCUAAAUAUGCAUCUGUGAGCAUACAUGCACUGGAUCUUGAUGC